This 330-nucleotide ribosomal RNA is filed under the name uncultured Glomeromycotina. RNAcentral describes it as "eukaryotic LSU rRNA". Lineage: Eukaryota; Fungi; Glomeromycota. The record is from RNAcentral.
CAGUCGUACCUAUGGGUAAUCAGCCUUUUGGGUGUGAUUUUGUGGAGCGUGAGGAGCUUAACACCUUCAUGCUUUGCAUAUUCGUGCUCUUGGGUGUACUUGCUCGUAUGGUUGGUUAACAUCAAUUUUGGUGGUCAUAAAAUGACUGGAGGAAUGUAGCUUCGAUCUCGUAUUGAAGUGUUAUAGCCUUCGGUAGAUGUGAUGACUGAGAUUGAGGAUUGCAACGGAUACCCUUCGGGGCUACCUGUCUGAUCUCUGAUCGUUGCUCUGGUGCCGAAAGCUUGCUUACGGUUAUCAAAGUCGAUGGUCAAUAGGUUAGAACGGGUUAAA